GCCAGGUGUGGUGGUGCACACCUGUAAUCCUAGUGACUCCAGAGGCUGAGGCAGGAGGAUGGCAAGUUCAAAGCCAGCCUCAG
RNAcentral lists this small RNA (83 nucleotides) under Marmota monax (woodchuck). The record is from RNAcentral. Lineage: Eukaryota; Metazoa; Chordata; Mammalia; Rodentia; Sciuridae.